CCUACGGGAGGCAGCAGUGAGGAAUAUUGGUCAAUGGUCGGGAGACUGAACCAGCCAAGCCGCGUGAGGGAUGAAGGUACAGAGUAUCGUAAACCUCUUUUGUCAGGGAACAAAGGCGGGGACGUGUCCCCGGAUGAGUGUACCUGAAGAAAAAGCAUCGGCUAACUCCGUGCCAGCAGCCGCGGUAAUACGGAGGAUGCGAGCGUUAUCCGGUUUUAUGGGGUUUAAAGGGUGCGCAGGCGGUCUGUUAAGUCAGCGGUCAAAGCCCGGGGCUCAACCCCGGCCCGCCGUUGAAACUGGCAGUCUCGAGUUGGAGAGAAGUAUGCGGAAUGCGCGGUGUAGCGGUGAAAUGCAUAGAUAUCGCGCAGAACUCCGAUUGCGAAGGCAGCAUGCCGGAUCCACACUGACGCUGAGGCACGAAAGCGUGGGUAUCGAACAGGAUUAGAUACCCGGGUAGUC
This 459-nucleotide ribosomal RNA is filed under the name uncultured bacterium. RNAcentral describes it as "partial 16S ribosomal RNA". It matches the Rfam family "Bacterial small subunit ribosomal RNA", at positions 338 to 795 of the family's 1533-position model. The record is from RNAcentral.